GUUCGUCAGUUAUGUCCCUUAUAACUUUAUAUGAUACGCAAGCGGGGGCAUCAGUGUUCGAUGGACACAUCCCCCUUUUAUAUAUCUGUUUCAUUUGGUCGCUUGUGGAGAGUUGUCUCAUUUGACGGGUAUGACAUAUGAAGCAGGAUUUGCUUACCCUUCUGGAGCCCUCCAGUUUUCGGUGGGGUUCGUGUUGCUUCGUCUUUAAUUUUCCAUUUAGUGUCUUGUGUACUAUUAUUUGUCUGUUUGUCUUUUUCUUUUUUAGCUAUGACGUUGUCAGUUUGUUUUCAAACUAUGCGUUUGAAUGUCCCUCUGGUAUCUUUAGCCCUUCUUAUGCAAUACCAUAUUUUCUUUUUUUAUAUAAGUUCAAUUAUCAUUAAUGUAUAAUACGUUAUUUCAUCCGGGAGUUAUGUGGUUUGUUCUAUAUUUUUGGUUUAA
RNAcentral lists this long non-coding RNA (438 nucleotides) under Mytilus galloprovincialis (Mediterranean mussel). The record is from RNAcentral. Lineage: Eukaryota; Metazoa; Mollusca; Bivalvia; Mytilida; Mytilidae.